Molecule: long non-coding RNA, 1801 nt
Filed under: Xyrichtys novacula (pearly razorfish)
Lineage: Eukaryota; Metazoa; Chordata; Actinopteri; Labriformes; Labridae
Source: RNAcentral
ACGUGAUUUUUGGCGUGGUGAAGCGAGGCAUCGAAACAUGUCGCUACGGUCCCUUCCCUUUGGAAAGGUCGGGUGUUCGUGAGAACCGUCCGCCCCCCGGGUGGAUCUGUACCACCGUUACGGACUCGGAGGAGUGAGGGCGACCGGGACGUGAGGGCCGGACGGCGGAUGUGACAGCAGACGGACUGAGAGGUCGAGAACCGCCAAAUCCAGCUAACUGUCAGCUAGCCUCCAUACAGUGAAGGCUAACUGGUUAGCUCACCUCCAUGGCAGGUUGUUGGUGCUGCAGUCAGGAGCUUUCACUGCAACAAGUAUUGGUUCUUACUUCUAUCAAACACAGAUGGAUAAUCGAUUAAAAAAAGCUUUAUAGAGUCUUUUAUCAGAGUGAGGUGAUGAACAGGUUAGCCUUUUAGCCUCACCUGAUUCAGACUCACAGAGAGAGAGAGAGAGAGUCUUAGCGGUCGCUGCAUGUUUGCUGUCUGCUCUUCAGGUGUGCAUGGAAAGGUGAGGUGAGCUGUUCCCUUUAGUCCCUGCAGACCCCCCCUCAAGGACAGGAGCGUGUUAGGAGGUAGGAUACAUCCUUUAUGAGGGGAUUGGUCACCUCCUCAGAGUCUAACUGUGUCCUUGAGAUAGAUGUGGAUCUAGAGUGAUGGGGAUUCCUGCUGUACUCAGUGAUCAUGGAUUUAUGGUUUCCAAAAGGCUCUUUGUUCAGUAUUUACCACUAUAAUUUGAUUAAUAAGUUUAAUUUAACAUGUUUGGACCUGAUAUAUCACCCAUGAAUAUUUUCUCUGCAACUGCACCAUGACCGUAGGGCUGGGCGAUAAAACGAUAACUAAUAAUUAAUUUCCCUCAAUAUCAAUUUAAAACUUUAAAACAUGAUCAAUAGGCUUUUCAAUAGUCGGCAUUCUGCCAUGUUUGGUAAACUAUACGAAUAGUAGGGCUGGGACGAUAUGCUUUUCUCCCAAUUCGAUUCCUCUAUGAUUUUUUUGAUGCAAUGUUUAAAUUGUGAUUCUAUGAUGUUGUCAUUUUUCUCGAUUUUAAGUCAUUUUUAACACCAGUGAAACAGCCUAAUGAUUUCCAUAUUUCCCCAAGAGACACACAUCACAUGUCAGUCAUUUUUUAAGAAUUAUUCUUAAAUUUGAAAAAAAAAAAAAGUCAGAUUAGUCAGUUUAAUUUCACAUGUUUGGACCUGACGUUGUAAACACUGUAUUGUAUGGAAGCCCUUAGUGGGCAUGCAUCCAUGCUCUUGAGUAACUGGAUUGACCCGACUAUCAGGUUGUUUUUCAUAUGAAUACAUCAGACAAAAAUAGACUCGUCUUUUAUUCAGGGAUCAGCGAUGAGAGUCGUACGGUAGUGUUGUGCUUCAUGCCUCUGUGAGCUGGUAAAAAUGACAUCCUGCCUUUUUUUUAAGAUCUUGACUUUGAACACUGAGGUGGGGCGUGUGAGAGGCUGUUCCUUCUUUACGACCAGCUGGACCUUGUAAACAAAACAAAACAGGAGGACACGUUCACGUCAAUAGUUCUGCAUGUAUACGCGGACAAGAAGAGAAGUCCAAUUUGGCAAAAAAAAAACGAAUUAUGAGCUCAGUCCGAUUAAACUGUGGAUGUGAAGGCACUGAGUGUCGACCACAGAAAAUAGCUGUAGAUUUGUCUUCUCGUCAUCCCUGGAUUUCAUGUCUAAUUAUGGAGAGAUGAGGCUGUGAAGCGUCCUUCAUGGAUGAUAAUUCUUUAAGUGGUUUCUCAUAUUAAACCCUUUUUCUUUACCAUUUCUUGACACAAAGAAACUGAAAAGCUUCCAAACG